Molecule: transfer RNA, 452 nt
Filed under: Acidithiobacillus sp. SSP
Lineage: Bacteria; Pseudomonadati; Pseudomonadota; Acidithiobacillia; Acidithiobacillales; Acidithiobacillaceae
Description: intergenic spacer
Rfam family: tRNA (bases 125-197)
Source: RNAcentral
AAAGAAAAGGGUCCAGACCCCACACACGCCACUCGGUAAGGAAUUGGCCUAUAGCUCAGCUGGCUAGAGCACACGACUGAUAAUCGUGAGGUCAGUGGUUCGAGUCCACUUGGGCCCACCAAAUGGGGCUGUAGCUCAGUUGGGAGAGCACCUGCUUUGCAAGCAGGGGGUCACCGGUUCGAGACCGGUCAGCUCCACCACAGGGAUGGAAGGCCCGCAAAGAGCGCGGGCUGGUCGCUGGGGAAGCGGUAUGGAAGUGAUUUGGGAUUGGAUUUUUAGUGUGUAGUGCUGAAUGACGCUUUUAAGGAUGUAGGAAGUUAAAAGGCGCUAUUGAUCACUGCCCACUCGGAAGGUUUGAGUGCGUUAGUUUGUUCUUUGACAGUUGAGGAAGGGAAGGCCAUGUUUGCCAUCUUGCCGAUGGCGGACCUCCAGGUGGAUGCUUGGGGAUAUAU